This 571-nucleotide long non-coding RNA is filed under the name Homo sapiens (human). RNAcentral describes it as "novel transcript". The record is from RNAcentral. Lineage: Eukaryota; Metazoa; Chordata; Mammalia; Primates; Hominidae.
AUAGCGCCCGCGACAGCGGUCCGGACGCCGCCCGAACAUGGACUCCGCCGGCCAAGAUAUCAACCUGAAUUCUCCUAACAAAGGUCUGCUGUCUGACUCCAUGACGGAUGUUCCUGUCGACACAGGUGUGGCUGCCCGGACUCCUGCUGUUGAGGGUCUGACAGAGGCUGAGGAGGAGGAGCUCAGGGCUGAGCUUACCAAGGUGGAAGAGGAAAUUGUCACUCUGCGCCAGGUCCUGGCAGCCAAGGAGAGGCACUGUGGAGAGCUCAAGAGGAGGCUGGGCCUCUCCACCCUGGGGGAGCUGAAACAGAACCUGUCCAGGAGCUGGCAUGACGUGCAGGUCUCUAGCGCCUACAAGAAGACUCAGGAAACUCUUUCACAGGCAGGACAGAAGACUUCAGCUGCCCUGUCCACAGUGGGCUCUGCCAUCAGCAGGAAGCUUGGAGACAUGAGAAUAGCCUAACAUGGCAGACCAGAGACAGCGCUCACUGUCUACCUCUGGGGAGUCAUUGUACCACGUCCUUGGGUUGGACAAGAACGCAACCUCAGAUGACAUUAAAAAGUCCUAUCG